This 351-nucleotide ribosomal RNA is filed under the name Triticum aestivum (bread wheat). RNAcentral describes it as "partial small subunit ribosomal RNA". The record is from RNAcentral. Lineage: Eukaryota; Viridiplantae; Streptophyta; Magnoliopsida; Poales; Poaceae.
AUGGGGACCGAGUGCGACGUCAACGUGGUCUGGCACCACGUGGAGAACGGCGGGUGCCUCCAGAAUUUCAUGAAGGCGACGGACGAGUGCAACCCCUUGGACAGUGACGAUGGACGUCCAGGCGUCGUCAAUGUCGAGGCAUGCAUCAAGGCGACCGCGGCGCUGCGCAAGUGCUUCGGCCGCAACCGCCGGUGGUUCAAGCACCAGUACAUCAACCGCAUGGACUUCCUUCUCGACGAGGACGUCAAGCCGUCGCCGGAGCAGGUGCAGGAGGAGGAGAGUAGCCAGUACAGGUGGUGGACCGGCAUGAGGAGAAGCUACCUAGCUUGUACUAAUUGCAUGCAUGUUUGA